GGGGGCGUACUUAAAUGGGAAAGCCUGGUCUCCAAAACCAGGGAUGCGGGUUCGACGCCCGCCGCCUCCACCA
RNAcentral lists this transfer RNA (73 nucleotides) under Gammaproteobacteria bacterium. Its description in RNAcentral is "tRNA-Trp". It matches the Rfam family "tRNA". Rfam says of the family: Transfer RNA (tRNA) molecules are approximately 80 nucleotides in length. Their secondary structure includes four short double-helical elements and three loops (D, anti-codon, and T loops). Lineage: Bacteria; Pseudomonadati; Pseudomonadota; Gammaproteobacteria. The record is from RNAcentral.